Molecule: long non-coding RNA, 542 nt
Organism: Syngnathus acus (greater pipefish)
Lineage: Eukaryota; Metazoa; Chordata; Actinopteri; Syngnathiformes; Syngnathidae
Exons: 4
Source: RefSeq, a predicted model, not a curated record
CGACUUCUUCAAAGGACACGUCGUUGUCAAUAUCAACCAAAGCGCAAAAUGUCUGCAAAUGCAUCUUGUAGUACUUAAUAGAUGCAUUCAUGCAAGUCGGUUCCUCAAGUGGUCGAGAGCUUCGAGCAACCAGAAAUGUUUCCUCUUCAAAAUGUUUCCGGACUGGCCUUAAAAAAACCAAAACAAGCUUUUAUAUGGAACCAGCUCAUUGAAGAAAAAAUUGCUCAGAGGUCACAAACUACAUUCCUUGAAACGGAAGACAUUGUGGAGCCCGAAAGCAGGUGCAUCGACGCCCACUUUCCCCUCCCAUCACCUCGCAGAUGUUUCCCUUGAAAGGCGACGGCGCGCCUCCUUCCACCUCGACCCAUCCAAGUGCUCUCUUUUCUUCCCUUUGACGAACCUGGGGAGGUGAAACGACAGGAGAGCGGCGAGCAGGUUCCCAACGGUUUCUCAUGGACCGACCUGACCGUCCGACGAGACUGCUGCCGCUGCUGGUGUUUGACGCAACUACUGGCAAGUGCAUCUCUUUUGUUUAACACACA